AUAAAAUCAUCAGGGCAAAUAAGGGGACCUGUGACAAGACGUCGGCUUCCUGUCCUCGUCGAGGUCACUAGAGAUAUAGCGACCCUCGUGUAAAUUCACAUAAAUGCACCAAGAAUACCAAAGUUUACCCAAGUUAUUGUUAACCAAAGAAAAUGUAGACUGACAGAGUAGUGUAAGUGUCCAACACAACCACAACAACAACAGCCAGUCCUCCAAAUUUGCAGGAACGCAGUGAAAAUGGCAGUAGAGAAAUCCAAGAAGAACUGUCAACAGUAUGAUGUUGAAUAUCCAAAAUAUGGAUAUAUUCAAGCACCAAGCAAUCAUCUAGCAGUGUGCCUAAUAUAUGAAAAGUUUUUUUCUAAGAAACCAGUGAAGCCUUCUAGAUUUAUAGAUCAUUUGGAAACAGCACACUGACAAGGCGCGCGCACACAUCCACAGGAAGCAGCGUUCUAACUCCCAGGUACCUAUUUACUGCU
Non-coding RNA from Procambarus clarkii (red swamp crayfish), 476 nucleotides. Lineage: Eukaryota; Metazoa; Arthropoda; Malacostraca; Decapoda; Cambaridae. The record is from RefSeq and is a predicted model, not a curated record.